AAACCAACAGGGAUUGCCUCAGUAACGGCGAGUGAAGCGGCAAGAGCUCAAAUUUGAAAUCCGGCCCCUCUGGGGGCCUGAGUUGUAAUUUGCAGAGGAUGCUUCGGGCGCGACCGCGGUCCAAGUCCCCUGGAACGGGGCGUCGUAGAGGGUGAGAAUCCCGUCUCCGGCCGGCCGGUCUCGCCCGUGUGAAGCUCCUUCGACGAGUCGAGUUGUUUGGGAAUGCAGCUCUAAAUGGGUGGUAAAUUUCAUCUAAAGCUAAAUACUGGUCGGAGACCGAUAGCGCACAAGUAGAGUGAUCGAAAGAUGAAAAGCACUUUGAAAAGAGAGUUAAACAGCAUGUGAAAUUGUUGAAAGGGAAGCGCUUGCGAUCAGAGUCGGCCGCGGGGGUUCAGCGGGCAUUCGUUGCCCGUGCAAUCCCCCGCGGCCGGGCCAGCGUCGGUUUCGACGGCCGGUCAAAGGCCCCCGGAAUGUGUCGCCUCUCGGGGCGUCUUAUAGCCGGGGGUGCAAUGCGGCCAGUCGGGACCGAGGAACGCGCUCCGGCACGGACGCUGGCUUAAUGGUCGUCAGCGAC
RNAcentral lists this ribosomal RNA (574 nucleotides) under Histoplasma capsulatum. RNAcentral's name for it is "eukaryotic LSU rRNA". It matches the Rfam family "Eukaryotic large subunit ribosomal RNA", at positions 62 to 648 of the family's 3401-position model. Lineage: Eukaryota; Fungi; Ascomycota; Eurotiomycetes; Onygenales; Ajellomycetaceae. The record is from RNAcentral.